UACGGGGGGGGCAAGCGUUGUUCGGAAUUACUGGGCGUAAAGGGCUCGUAGGUGGCCAACUAAGUCAGACGUGAAAUCCCCAGGCUUAACCUGGGAACUGCGUCUGAUACUGGAUGGCUUGAAUUCGGGAGAGGGAUGCAGAAUUCCAGGUGUAGCGGUGAAAUGCGUAGAUAUCUGGAGGAAUACCGGUGGCGAAGGCGGCGUCCUGGACCGAGAUUGACACUGAGGAGCGAAAGCUAGGGGAGCAAACGGG
This 253-nucleotide ribosomal RNA is filed under the name uncultured bacterium. RNAcentral's name for it is "partial 16S ribosomal RNA". It matches the Rfam family "Bacterial small subunit ribosomal RNA", at positions 524 to 776 of the family's 1533-position model. The record is from RNAcentral.